AGGAAACUGAAAAGCUGUGGGACUAACCAUUACAUUCCAAGGACGGGGAAAGCUUGCAGCCUUUGGGUCCAGCAUGUUUCUGAAAUGUAUAAAAAGACCUUCAAUCAGAUAUUUCCACAUGAAGAUAUGGGAAACUGCACCAGCAGAUGUGGAGACAGCUCUUAUCUCAUCCUACCACCAUUGUUGUUUACAGACUCCUGACAAGGAAGUGAAUAUUAGGCAACUUGAUGUAAAACAGCAAGUCAUUCUGUUUAGUUUUGCCAAAUGCUUUUCACUUGGAAAAGGCUGGGAUUAUUAUCAACUUACAGUAGGUAUACAACAUAGCUUGGUUAUACCUUGAAAAGGUUAGAUUAUACUCCAGUCUCCAGUCCAAGUUCAUGGUCAUGGUUCUUGGCUUUAAUGAGAAACGGUACACAAGGUUUUCUCACUGUGGCUUUCACUUUCACUGUAGCUUUAGUUGGGCAAGGCUAAGCAGCAGAACUCUAUAAAUAAUGAACAUUUUGUUUACAUAAAAUGCACAGAUUGCACUCUUCUAGGUGGGCCCAAACCAGUGCACGUUGACCCCCAAACCAGUCCAUAGUGACCCCAUGCUAAACAUGGACCAAUUGAAGAGCUUUUCUUUUUUAUCUUUUAACGUUUAUACAUUAAAGGUCAGAGUCUAUUACAUUUUAUUGAAGGUAAGUUCAGCUCCAUCCAUGAUGUGUGCUUCACACUGCUAAGUGUGCCCAACACAUAUAUAUACCUGGCCAUGCAGUAAAAAAAUCCGCUUGUUUGGCAAGGUCGUCAAACAAGCGGAUCUUUCCCCAAUAUACCCACCUUGAAGUGGGCGAUAUCCAAUGGGAUACAGGCCGUCAAGACAAGGACAGCAUCAGUGUGCCAAUGCGCUCCUCCUGAUUUUCAGCCAGAUAUCAGUCAGAUAUGGCAGCUUUUAUCUGCAUGUGUAUGGCCACCUAUACUUCAAUUUAAAGUCAUUUUAAAAAUGUUUUUUAGGGUGUAGCAACUGGGCUUUGUUUGAAAUGCACCCACAUUAUUGUUGCUCACUUCUUUUUAUGUAGCUGAAAUAAAUCACAAAACAGUUAAUUUUA
Molecule: long non-coding RNA, 1085 nt
Organism: Xenopus tropicalis (tropical clawed frog)
Lineage: Eukaryota; Metazoa; Chordata; Amphibia; Anura; Pipidae
Exons: 2
Source: RefSeq, a predicted model, not a curated record